AAAGAAAAAAAGAAAUUAUAAUAUCACAACGUAGCAAGUCCAAGAAGAAACGGAACACAAAGACCUUGGCGGGUCGACAUACCCGCGUCAAGAACGUGCGACGACCCCGACCCCGUGCAGGAGAGAGCAACCCCUCUCUCUCUCUUUCUCUCUCUCUUUCUCUCUCUCUCUCUCUCUUACUUAUUCUUCUUACGCUUCUUAGUAUAACAAACGCAUGACCGACGACAGAAGAAGACAAACACACACGUUACACACCACCACCACAACACUCGACUUAACUCUCACCGUAUGUAUCGUCUAAAUUCUUUUUAUUCAGGUUUAUAUUGAACCCCAGUGGAUAUAUUAUAUCCACCCUCUAACCUAUUCACUUAGGAACAUUCAAAAUAAUCCCUGAUAAAAAUUAUUUUUAAUGAUUUUUUUUUUCUCUCUCUCUCUCUCUCUAUCUAUUUAUCUAUCUACCUAUCUAUCUCUCUAUUUCUCUCUUAUUACUUCUUAUAUCCUCCCCUUGUCUAUAUCACCAUCCACACCACCAAUGGGCUACUACUGUACUACACUACCAAUCUUACUGCUGCAUUUAUCUCUCACUAGUCUACUACUGUUGCUACUAUUUUACCAGUGCAACUGCUACUACUAUUACCACUACUCUACUAAUAUACUACUACACUACUCUUACCUACUACACUACUACGCGAUUACUACCUACUACCACCACCACUACUACUACAGCCUAGCUGCAACAGGAGCAGCAACAGCAGCAGCAGCAGCAGCAGCAGCAGAUAGCAGCGGUAGUAAAAGUGUGGUGUUCACCUUCACCAAUUUCUCCACCUUCACCACCAUUUAACAUUUGGUAUAGCUAUGUUUGCCCUUUUUUUUCUCUUUUUCUAUUUCUUUUUUUUUUUUUCUUUUUUUUUUUCGUAAUAAGAUCGUCACUUAACACAAAUAUUAACAAUAAUAACAAUAACAAAAAGCACUGGCAAUUGCAGCUCCAAUGUCAAAUAAUGAAGAAGAGCGGCACGAAUUUCAGGUACACGGUAUCAUGCAUACACAUGCAUAAAUACGUACGUAAGUACGUAUGUACACACACACACACACACACACACAUAUAUAUAUACAUACAUACAUACAUAAACAGAAUAAACGCGCACUCGACACUACUGAACAAGACAGCUGAGCCUCCGUGGCCCUAGCAGUUUUAUAUAAGAGACCGCUUCUCUCACACCGUGAAUACAGGAUAAUUUGUUCACUAGUUAGCUCAACGGCCGAAUAUCUUAGCCCGCUAGAAGCCUUUCUAAUCUUACGAAUAUCCAAACAUUACGCACCGCACACCUCACCACUCCGAUACUCCGCCAGCUAGCCUACCCCAUCGACGAUAAUAACAAAUAUGGCGAGCAGGACUACCUUCUGCAUAUCGCUCUGUUCCUACUGCUCGCACACGACCGUCAGAUGGCACCAUACGCGACCCGUACGUUUACUCCUUUCCUUUCCGACAUCUUUUUUUUUUCCUCUUUAUUUCACUCUACAUAUACCACGCUAUUACGCGAGAGUAUUCGUUGUGAACACUUUGAACAAAUUCCGAUUGGCUCAUGACGCUAUUAGUACUUCCAAAUGCAACAGUUACGAGUCACGUGACAUCUCCCGGACACUCGAUUGAUUGGAUGGUUCCAUCGUGCGCCAUGUUGUAUCCGUGAAAGAGCCAAUAAACGAUCAGCUCUUGAGCAUUAUUUUCAAUUUGAUGAUAUUAUUUAUUACCAUUCGAAAUUCUAAAGCUAACUGUGAUAACUAAUAAUACGAUGAUAUUAUACGAGAUAAGUGAAAGCUUUGAUUCUUUAUAUUUUUUAAUUAUGCAUGUAUUUUUUUCUCUCUCUUUUUCUUUCUUUUUUUUUCUUUUUUUUUUUUUUUUUUUUUUUUUUUUUAAAUAAUAAAUUAUAAUCAAAUAAGUAGAAAAGAAAAAUGAGUAUUUAAUAGGUUAAAAAAAUGAUCUGUAGAUUUAAGAAAAUCAAAGUUUCCUUUAUAGUCGAGAUGCAUUUAUGAAUUAUAUAUACAUAUUGAAGGAUAAGAAAUGAAUCAGUAGAAACACACUUUUAACUACUCAUAAAUUUUCUAUUAUUAAGUUUAUUUAAUUGUACCAUGUCUUUGUGAUAAUCGAUUUAUCAGCAUUUCAUUUUGCUUUGUCAAAUCGAACACUCCUAAGUGAUACACAGUUCCUUGAAGACACAUUGAUUUAAACUUAUGUCGAUAGUGAAACUCGUUUAAUGUGAUUGAAAUAGCCUCUUUCUUUUAAUAAAUCGUCCAAUGCUUCUUGAGCAUAAUAAACAACAAAAUUUGUCGGUGCGAUGCCUUCAAAUACAGCAUAGACAGAAGGUUUUAAAUUAUAGAAGAAAAGGGGUUGACCUCUAACUGCAAAAUCUUUGGUCAGACUUUCGACGACCGUAGCAGCUGUAAAAUCUGCUCCAUAAAUAUGUGAACAAUCUAUCACAACUGGUGUCUCUACGCUCUCUGUCCUGUGACUAUAUUUAGUCACUAAAUUUCUCACAUAAUCCACAGAAGGAAAGAUCAAACAACGAUCUGGCGUCAACAUCAGAUAAUCGAUCCCGCAGUGUGUCUGAAAUAUGUAAAAAAGCAAUAUAUGUACACACAUAUGUAUAUGUUUGUGUGCAUAUAUAUAUAUAUAUAUAUACACACACAUACACAUAAAUAUAAUAAAGUACUAGAAACAGUCUGCUUCAAAAAAGUACAAUAUAUAUAUAUAUGUAUAUAUAUAUAUUUUUGAAUGAUCUAACAUAAUCCUAUUGCAAAAUGAAAUAAUUAAUUUAUAAUACUUUAAUCAACUGUUUCUUUGAAUAAUAAUUGAAUAAUAAUAAAUAUAUAAAAAUAUAUAUUUACAGUUAAUUUUUCAACAGAUAUUUUUGGUCUUGCUGCAUGGUAAAGAAUGAACAAUACAUUCAUACCAAUCCCACAGAGAAUUCCAAUCUCAAGUUGCAGCACCAAGCAAGCAAUGAAAGUUCCUAAUCCUGGGAUUAGAUCAGACUCUAGAAAAGAUAUAUUUAUCAUGAAUCUUAUGUUAAUACAACAAUGUUUAUUUAAAAUUUUCCUCAAGAGAUAUGUUUAAUUGUAUUUUUAUUUAUUUCUACAUUGAUUAAUAACCUAAUUCUCACUUUUGGUUCUCCACAUUGGCUUAAUGACCUUCACUUCGACCAUGAAGACAACGGCAGAUAUGAUGAUUGCUGCUAAACUAGCUCUUGGUAUAUAACUGAAGUAAGGUGUAAGGAAAAGAAGUGCCAAUAUCACCAAUAAUCCUAUAGAAGAAGAAAUUGCAUAAGCAUGACAUACGGCACUUCUGCUAAGAGAUCCUGUGCCUGGAAAAGCCUGUACAAAGGAACUACCAACGUUCGCUAAACCAAUAGCUAUUAAUUCUUGUGUGGCAUCAACUGACUUUCCUUGUGCUAAAUUUACAAAUAGUAAAAUUAUAAUCUUAAUACAUAUAUAUACGUCUAUAGUAUAUAUAUUUUUUAAUGGAUAAAUUUUUUCUUACAAAAUGCUUUGAAAAUAGCCACAUCCUCCAUCAAAGAAAUAAGUGGAAGAACAAGAAUACCACUUCCCAAAUUCGUACACAUAUCUAUAAAAGUGACUGUAGUAUUAUCGUCUUUGAUGUAACCAAAUGGAGGUGGUUGUAAAGUGGGCAUACCACCUGGUAUGGGACCUAUAUAAUCAAAAGAAAUUUAAUUAGUUUCAUUUACAUUAGAUCAAUAUUAUUUAUUUAUUUAUUUAUUUAUUUAUUUAUUUAUUUAUUCGUGAUCAUACCAAUUACUUGAAAGGGUGCAUCAUGUGCGGCACUAAAAAGAUAUCCUAAUAAACCGCAAACAAUAACAAGAAGUGCAUUCCUUGAGGUACAGGUCAACCAUAUAAGCGUAUUUAUUAUUCUCUGCUUUUUGGUACGAAGUUCUUCAUUGUCAGGACCAAUUGUAAAGGAAGAUAUCAUCUGAUGAUACGAAUGAAAUAUUAAUAUUUCAUUAAUAUCAUAUUUAAAUUUUUAAAACUUACCCUGAGUAUUAAUAGGAUACCUAUGCAGCAUAUACCAAGCGUAGUAUCCCAUAUCGAUGUUUGAUAAAGGCACUCGGCAAUGCUUUUCCACAUCUGUACAAAGGUAGAUCCCCUGGCAGAGACAGCUAGGAUAUCUUUUAUUUGUGACGUAACUAUUAUCAGUGCUACUGCCGAAGUGAAUCCAGAACUAACCGGACCGGAUACAAAGUCAAUUAAAAAUCCUAAAAAUUAUUGAAAGUCUAAUUUAUUACAUUUUAGUUAAACAAAAUAUAUUGUCUAUUUGGACAAGAACAAUAUUUUUUGACUUUUAUUUACGUAGUUGCGUGAAAUGGUAUAACGAAAAAAAAAAAAAAAAAGAAAAAAGAAAAAAAUAAGCUCGCUUUUCAAUUGACAUUUCACACUUCAGUAAAAAAAUACAUAUAUAUAUAUGAUCGAUGUUAAUAAAUCUAGCGUUAAAUAUGAUACGAGAAUAAUAUAUUAUAUUUGAUUACUUACCGAGUCCGAAAAUUCCCAUGAUUAAUUCAACGACACCUACUAAAAAGCAUAAUAAUAUCGCAUGCUUUUCUGGCGCGUCCAAAUGAGCAACAGAUUGAUGAGUUAAUAAAGAAAGUAUAGCAGUAGGACCAAAUGGUACAUCUUUGCAGGAACCAAAUAUUAUGUAAAUGAAACAUCCCAAAAAACUGCCAUAUAAUCCGUACUGUAAAAUUUCAUUGAUUAUAUAUUAUGAAAACAUUGAAUUAAAUUUUAACUAAAAGAGAGAGAGAGAGAGAGAGAGAGAGAGAGAGAGAGAGAGAGAGAUAGAGAAAGAAAGAAUAAUCUUAUUACUAAUUAAGAUAUAUCUUCAAGUUAAAUUUCUUAAUUUAAUAUAAAAAUGUCAGAAUUUUUAAUACUUUAUAUUAAAAUAAAUAACAACAACAAUAACUAGACUAGUAUUUUUUUAAUUAUAAAUUUGUCUAAGUUAUUAUACUGUAAUUGUUAUGAGAGUGUUGUUUAUUUAUA
Long non-coding RNA from Vespa velutina, 5040 nucleotides. RefSeq lists it as uncharacterized. NCBI's taxonomy places the organism in Eukaryota, Metazoa, Arthropoda, Insecta, Hymenoptera, Vespidae. The record is from RefSeq and is a predicted model, not a curated record. The transcript has 2 exons.